GCAAGACAAAGCCCAUCUGAAAAGAUUUCCAUACAGUUUUUUUGAGUAUGGCUUCUUUCACCUGGCAUGAUGCAUCUGAGAUUCAUCCAUGCUGUCAUGUGUAUCAGUACUGCCUGCCUUCUUACUGCUGAGUAGGAUUCCAUGUUGAUCUUUGAGUUAGGGGACAUGGUAGCUGCUGAUUCAACUAUCAUUGAACCUCCUUAUUGAAGAAUGACAUUGCCAAGAUAGCACCAAGUCUCAGAAUCUGAAAACUUAAUACAGUGAUUUCUAAUUCAGCUAGUCAUCAAAAUCACCUGCAGAACUUUACAAAAAUUUAAAUCAUCCUGCCCAGAGAUUCUAUUCAACAAGUUUUGGAGCAAACCCGGAAACUGAAUUUUGAAAUGUUCCCAGAUAAUUCUGUCGAUCAGCCAAGUCUGGGAAUCUCCAGGUGAAAUGCCGAGGACUUGGUCCAUCUGCAGGCUCAUCUCAUGACUACAGCCUAGCCAAGAUGGGAAAACAGGCUUAAGGAAGGAUAAGUAACUUGUUCAAGUACUGGCUCCUGAGCUCAGAGAAGAUAAGGAGAGGAUCAUGCUGGCGUGAGCACUGACCACAGAGGGAACGAGAGACCCAAGAAAUACCCUUUCCCUGUGGUGACAGGAUGGAAACUGCCAAUCUCUCUGCAGGCGCCCCUCUGGCUGGUAGGAGGCACCAGAACACACUGCAUGCUCCAGUGUGUGAUAUGCUGCUGUUUCUUAAAAGCCUGUGUGAGAGGUCAGUGCCACCAAGUGGCUGAAAGGUGAGUGGGCAAAUGGAAGGGUAUCUGCAAUACAGUGGCUUCCUAGUACUUCCCCUCCCCUUCCUCCUGCCUCUACCACCCACCCAUUACCCCAUGUCUCUCAGGACUCUAUGCUGUCCUAGGCAGACUAUAGGGUACUGGAUUAAUCUCCUCUUUUAAGUUAGCUCUCAGGUGUCCAACUCUCCCUUUACACCUUAAUCUAGACUUUGGCCUCCUUCCCUGCUUUAACUGAUUGAUCUCAUCAUGAGGAAGAACUCGGUGACUACAGACCAAAGACUCCUUCAUUGGGUAGGAAAGACUGAGAAUAAAUCAGUGUUCCCUCUCUAUCGGUGGAUACUUUCAUGUUUGCUCUGAGGUCUGGCUUAACUCAAGGAACUAACUGGUAAUGAAGGAA
RNAcentral lists this long non-coding RNA (1169 nucleotides) under Homo sapiens (human). RNAcentral describes it as "HSALNT0168190". Lineage: Eukaryota; Metazoa; Chordata; Mammalia; Primates; Hominidae. The record is from RNAcentral.